RNAcentral lists this ribosomal RNA (316 nucleotides) under uncultured bacterium. RNAcentral's name for it is "bacterial SSU rRNA". It matches the Rfam family "Bacterial small subunit ribosomal RNA", at positions 28 to 334 of the family's 1533-position model. The record is from RNAcentral.
GACGAACGCUGGCGGCGCGCCUAACACAUGCAAGUCGAACGAGCGAGAGAGAGCUUGCUUUCUCAAGCGAGUGGCGAACGGGUGAGUAACGCGUGAGGAACCUGCCUCAAAGAGGGGGACAACAGUUGGAAACGGCUGCUAAGACCGCAUAGGCGCGGACGGGACAUCCCGUCCACGUUAAACGUCCUUUCGGGGACGGCUGAAGGAUGGGCCUGUGGCGCAUUAGCUUGUUGGCGGGGCAACGGCCCACCAAGGCGACGAUGCGUAGCCGGCCUGAGAGGGCGGACGGCCACACUGGGACUGAGACACGGCCCAG